This 303-nucleotide ribosomal RNA is filed under the name uncultured bacterium. Its description in RNAcentral is "partial 16S ribosomal RNA". It matches the Rfam family "Bacterial small subunit ribosomal RNA", at positions 507 to 808 of the family's 1533-position model. The record is from RNAcentral.
AGCAGCAGCCGCGGAAUACGGAGGGUGCAAGCGUUAAUCGGAAUUACUGGGCGUAAAGCGCACGCAGGCGGUUUGUUAAGUCAGAUGUGAAAUCCCCGAGCUUAACUUGGGAACUGCAUUUGAAACUGGCAAGCUAGAGUCUUGUAGAGGGGGGUAGAAUUCCAGGUGUAGCGGUGAAAUGCGUAGAGAUCUGGAGGAAUACCGGUGGCGAAGGCGGCCCCCUGGACAAAGACUGACGCUCAGGUGCGAAAGCGUGGGGAGCAAACAGGAUUAGAUACCCCGGUAGUCCCUGUCUCUUAUACC